RNAcentral lists this ribosomal RNA (441 nucleotides) under uncultured bacterium. RNAcentral's name for it is "partial 16S ribosomal RNA". It matches the Rfam family "Bacterial small subunit ribosomal RNA", at positions 338 to 795 of the family's 1533-position model. The record is from RNAcentral.
CCUACGGGAGGCUGCAGUGGGGAAUAUUGCACAAUGGGGGAAACCCUGAUGCAGCGACGCCGCGUGAGUGAAGAAGUUUUUCGGUAUGUAAAGCUCUAUCAGCAGGGAAGAAGCAAGACGGUACCUGACUACGAAGCCCCGGGCGACUACGUGCCAGCAGCCGCGGUAAUGCGUAGGGGGCCAGCGUUAUCCGGAUUUACUGGGCGUAAAGGGGGCGUAGACGGUUUGGCAAGUCUGGAGUGAAAGGCCAGGGUUUAACCCUGGGACUGCUGUGGAAACUGUUAGACUAGAGUGCGGGAGAGGUAAGUGGAAGUCGUGGUGUAGCGGUGAAAUGCGUAGAUAUUAGGAGGAACACCAGUGGCGAAGGCGGCUUACUGGACAGUAACUGACGUUGAGGCUCGAAAGCGUGGGGAGCGAACAGGAUUAGAUACCCUAGUAGUC